CCCUUAGAUGUUCUGGGCUGCACGCGCGCUACACUGAAGCGUUCAACGAGUAUUCACCUUGCCCGGGAGGGUUGGGUAAUCUUUUCAAAACGCUUCGUGAUGGGGAUAGAUUAUUGCAAUUAUUAAUCUUCAACGAGGAAUUCCUAGUAAGCGCGAGUCAUCAGCUCGUGCUGAUUACGUCCCUGCCCUUUGUACACACCGCCCGUCGCUCCCACCGAUUGAGUGAUCCGGUGAAUAAUUCGGACUGCAGCAGGCCUGGUCUCCGGGUUUUGCAGCGGAAAGUUUAGUGAACCUUAUCACUUAGAGGAAGGAGAAGUCGUAACA
RNAcentral lists this ribosomal RNA (324 nucleotides) under uncultured eukaryote. Its description in RNAcentral is "partial 18S ribosomal RNA". It matches the Rfam family "Eukaryotic small subunit ribosomal RNA", at positions 1470 to 1796 of the family's 1831-position model. The record is from RNAcentral.